Heteronotia binoei (common prickly gecko) is the source of this 562-nucleotide long non-coding RNA. RefSeq lists it as uncharacterized. The transcript has 3 exons. The record is from RefSeq and is a predicted model, not a curated record. NCBI's taxonomy places the organism in Eukaryota, Metazoa, Chordata, Lepidosauria, Squamata, Gekkonidae.
GGGCUAAUCCCGCGCGCUGCCUCGCCAGCCAGAGGGCGGGGCCGCCACGGUCGCCUGGCCUCCCCCAGGAGCCGCCAGAAAGGCCGGCAGAGGGAGGCACGUGGGUGGCGCCUCUCUUGUCUUCUGCCCGCGACCCGGAUUUCGACCCAAGCUAGAAGCCAGACAGAAGAAGAGUGCGUCUGAGCAUGUACAGACUAGAGUGUGUUGCUUGAUAGUUCACGUAGACAGAACUACAUUGGGUACAAUGUUGUGGGUACAAUUCAAAGGGCUCUUCCCUAAACACCUUGAACAUCAGAGGCCUGCUGUUUUCAUGUGAAGAAAGUGCAAAGCAGCCUUCUCUGGUUCACUCACCUUCAGAGGAACUAAAGGCAGAGUAUUCCAAGGAGGUCUCUCCAUCCAGGCACUGACCAGGCUUGAAUAGGCCUAUCUUCAACAAGGAUGCUGAACAGCAUGUCAAGAGUUCACUAAAGGCUACAUACAUUUCUGAAUGGUGGUUCUGAUGAGUCAUACCUAGCCAAGUGUUAAUAAAAAGUGGCUUUUCUUUUCAAAACACACACAAAAA